This is a long non-coding RNA of Ochotona princeps (American pika), 326 nucleotides long. RefSeq lists it as uncharacterized. The transcript has 3 exons. The record is from RefSeq and is a predicted model, not a curated record. Lineage: Eukaryota; Metazoa; Chordata; Mammalia; Lagomorpha; Ochotonidae.
GCCUGGCAGUUUUUUUGGCUCUACAAGCCCUGUUACUGUGGUCCACUGCUUCCGGUCAGCACCAAAUGCACACCAGGUGUGAAGUCAAUCAGAGGUACACAUUGGGUUUCCACAGUGUGUGUGGACACUUGAUGUGAUGAAUGAGCAUUCACUGCAGCCAGCUUGUUCGAAGGAUAUAAUAUUUUAAUUUAUAUUAUAUUCUGAUUUAUUGGAUCCACUAAAUAAAGAGUUCACGAAAUAAAAUGUGAAAAGAUUAUCUCCACAAGGAAUAUGUCAAGGACAAGCCACGUUAAUCAAAGGAAAAUAUGCUCAACAUUACAAAUGAA